AAACCCGCCAAGGAACUACGAGCUCAAACUUAAAACCUAAGGACUUGACGGUGUUCCAUCCCCCUAGAGGAGCCUGUUCUAUAAUCGAUUCUCCACGAUAUACCUCACCAUCCCUAGAACAUUCAGCCUGUAUACCUCCGUCGCAAGCUCACCAUGUGAACGCACCCAGUAAGCUCAAGGAUUAAAAUCAAAACGUCAGGUCAAGGUGCAGCCUAUGGAAUGGAAAGAAAUGGGCUACAAUCUCUAUAUUAGAACAAACGGAAAACUGCAUGAAACACAGUAUUGAAGGCGGAUUUAGUAGUAAAAAGAAAAUAGAGAGUUCUUUUUAACCCGGCACUGGAACGCGUACACACCGCCCGUCACCCUCUUCGAAUAAUAUAUAUCAUGUUACUAACACAACACACACCCCCCCCUAAAAGAGGCAAGUCGUAACACGGUAAGCGUACUGGAAAGUGCGCUUGGAAACAAAAUGUAACUUAACAAAAGUACCUUGCUUACACCAAGAACAUGUCCGUGCAACCCAGACCAUUUUGAGCCAAAAACCUAGCCCAUAAAAUACACAUAAAAACACACCCCCCCCCCCCCCCAUAAAAUGAACAAAACAUUUAACAAACCAAGUAAAGGCGAUUAAAA
This 633-nucleotide ribosomal RNA is filed under the name Asterophrys eurydactyla (Danowaria callulops frog). Its description in RNAcentral is "Pseudocallulops eurydactylus (Danowaria callulops frog) partial 12S ribosomal RNA". The stretch from base 1 to 474 matches the Rfam family "Bacterial small subunit ribosomal RNA", at positions 865 to 1533 of the family's 1533-position model. The record is from RNAcentral. Lineage: Eukaryota; Metazoa; Chordata; Amphibia; Anura; Microhylidae.